AGAGUUUGAUCCUGGCUCAGAUUGAACGCUGGCGGCAGGCUUAACACAUGCAAGUCGAGCGGAAACGAUGAUAGCUUGCUAUCAGGCGUCGAGCGGCGGACGGGUGAGUAAUACUUAGGAAUCUACCUAGUAGUGGGGGAUAGCACGGGGAAACUCGUAUUAAUACCGCAUACGACCUACGGGAGAAAGGGGGCAGUUUACUGCUCUCGCUAUUAGAUGAGCCUAAGUCGGAUUAGCUAGAUGGUGGGGUAAAGGCCUACCAUGGCGACGAUCUGUAGCUGGUCUGAGAGGAUGAUCAGCCACACCGGGACUGAGACACGGCCCGGACUCCUACGGGAGGCAGCAGUGGGGAAUAUUGGACAAUGGGGGAAACCCUGAUCCAGCCAUGCCGCGUGUGUGAAGAAGGCCUUUUGGUUGUAAAGCACUUUAAGCAGUGAAGAAGACUCCGUGGUUAAUACCCACGGACGAUGACAUUAGCUGCAGAAUAAGCACCGGCUAACUCUGUGCCAGCAGCCGCGGUAAUACAGAGGGUGCAAGCGUUAAUCGGAAUUACUGGGCGUAAAGGGAGCGUAGGUGGCUCGAUAAGUCAGAUGUGAAAUCCCCGGGCUCAACCUGGGAACUGCAUCUGAUACUGUUGAGCUAGAGUAUGUGAGAGGAAGGUAGAAUUCCAGGUGUAGCGGUGAAAUGCGUAGAGAUCUGGAGGAAUACCGAUGGCGAAGGCAGCCUUCUGGCAUAAUACUGACACUGAGGCUCGAAAGCGUGGGUAGCAAACAGGAUUAGAUACCCUGGUAGUCCACGCCGUAAACGAUGUCUACUAGUCGUUGGGUCCCUUGAGGACUUAGUGACGCAGCUAACGCAAUAAGUAGACCGCCUGGGGAGUACGGCCGCAAGGUUAAAACUCAAAUGAAUUGACGGGGGCCCGCACAAGCGGUGGAGCAUGUGGUUUAAUUCGAUGCAACGCGAAGAACCUUACCUGGUCUUGACAUAUCUAGAAUCCUGCAGAGAUGCGGGAGUGCCUUCGGGAAUUAGAAUACAGGUGCUGCAUGGCUGUCGUCAGCUCGUGUCGUGAGAUGUUGGGUUAAGUCCCGCAACGAGCGCAACCCUUGUCCUUAGUUACCAGCGGGUUAAGCCGGGAACUCUAAGGAUACUGCCAGUGACAAACUGGAGGAAGGCGGGGACGACGUCAAGUCAUCAUGGCCCUUACGACCAGGGCUACACACGUGCUACAAUGGUAGGUACAGAGGGCAGCUACACAGCGAUGUGAUGCGAAUCUCAAAAAGCCUAUCGUAGUCCAGGUUGGAGUCUGCAACUCGACUCCAUGAAGUAGGAAUCGCUAGUAAUCGCGGAUCAGAAUGCCGCGGUGAAUACGUUCCCGGGCCUUGUACACACCGCCCGUCACACCAUGGGAGUUGAUUGCACCAGAAGUGGAUAGCUUAACCUUCGGGGAGGCGUUCACCACGGUGUGGUUGAUGACUGGGGUGAAGUCGUAACAAGGUAACC
Molecule: ribosomal RNA, 1500 nt
Filed under: uncultured bacterium
Lineage: Bacteria
Description: bacterial SSU rRNA
Rfam family: Bacterial small subunit ribosomal RNA
Source: RNAcentral